RNAcentral lists this ribosomal RNA (933 nucleotides) under Triticum aestivum (bread wheat). RNAcentral describes it as "partial small subunit ribosomal RNA". The record is from RNAcentral. Lineage: Eukaryota; Viridiplantae; Streptophyta; Magnoliopsida; Poales; Poaceae.
AUGGAGGUUCGGAGGUCGACGCGGAUGGCUUCCAGGCCCCCCACCGUAGGAAUAGGUGCCGGGGCGCGCGCCGUGAUGCCACCCUGUCGGCCCAGCGGCACCACCGCCGCAGCCCCUCUCCGGAGGAGGCCGCUGGCCUCUGCUUCCUCUGCCUGGACCCCAUCAACCCCGUGCGCGAGUGCACCAAUGACAUCCGCCGCCGUCGUUGCCUCUACUUUGGACACGGCUCGCGUGACUGCUGGAAGUUCCGCCGUGGCGUGCUGUGCACCCCCCCGCCGCCGCAUUGCGCUCCUCAAGGACGGCGACGCCAACACAUCUUUCUUCCACCGGCAAUGCACGUACCGGCGACAGAAGAAUCGGAUCCACAACCUCACUGUGGACGGCGUUUUGAUCUUUGCCCCCUGCGACAUGGCGGCCGUGGCAUACGCACACUUCGACGCCUUGCUCGGCUGCGAGACGUCCCGCGAGUGCAGCCUCGACCUCUCCGAGCUGAUCCCACCCACCAACCUCGAUGACCUUGACGCCCCUUUCUACGCCGAGGAAAUUUGGCAGGCGGUGAAACGCCUCGUACGUAAAGCUCCCGGCCCGGACGGCUUCAUCGCCGAGUUCUUACGCGCGUGCUGGCCCAUCGUCCGGCAAGAUUUCGUCGACGUCUUCCAGUGGCUGUACGAGAUGCGUGGUCGGGGCUUUUGCUCCCUCAACCAGGCGCUGCUCACCUUGCUCCCGAAGCGCGCAGACGCUUGUGGCCUAGGCAACUUUAGGCCUAUAAGCCUAAUCCAACUCGUCGCCGAAAUCUUUGCCAAGGUCUUAUCGUUACGCCUCGCGCCAAAGCUCCACAACCUCGUUAGCACGUGCCAGAACACAUUCAUCCACAGCCGCAGCCUGCACAACAACUUCAUCCUCGUGCGCCAAUCCGCGCUCCUUCUACACUAG